UUCAGCUCGCUCCAAAUGUCAGCAGGAAUAGGAGUAUGGGCUGGAACAGUUCAACACGACUGGUCCAAAGGACAGCAUUGAAAUACAAGAAAAGGAUCUUGGCGCAUCCUGCCCUCCCCCAUCCACCACCCUCAAACAAGUCAGUUACCCGGCUGGUCCCCACCCCCCUCUGCGGGCCGCCACCGCCCGCCUGGGCCCGGCUCGAAGUAGGGCCUCCCGUCGGGGCUGCAAGUCACGUGCCUGAAAUGGAGCCGGACUCAGCAGCUUUUACCGCCCCCCCACGACUCCUGGCGGUCGGCAGCGACUACAUUUCCUAGCAUGCCAGGCUCCGGCCAGAGGAGCUGUCCACGCCCAGGGAGAGCGAGGAGCAUGCCGGGAGCGCUGUGCGCGCGACUUUCGGCGCGGCGCUCCGAGGGCGGCCGCUGGCGGGGGGAGAGGGAGAAGCCUCCCUGGAGACCGCACCUGGCGCCUCUCGGGAGGGCGCGGGGCUCCCGGGAGGCGCGCCUGGCCCCUCGCAGCCUAGAAAAUUAGAGAGCUGCCUCGCGUGCUUUGCUGCUCCCCGAAUAGCAGCCACCCUCAAGCGCUCUUCCUUGUUCUCCCUCGGUUUUAUAAAUAGCAGUUUUCCACUCCACAUGUACAUAUGUAUGUAUGUAUGUGAUACCCAUGUUUAUGUGUUAUUACCUGUUGUCCUGGCUCUAAAAUUAGAUUCAAUGAGAGCAGAGACUUUGGGUGGGUUUAGUGAUGAAUCCCUCGAGUCAAAACUGUCUGGCACCUCAUAGGAAUUCAAUAAAUACUUAAGGAACAAAAUAGCACUCUGGUGUCACGCGGUUUCUUCAUCACCCUCCCAAGCUGUGUUCUGCAGCCUUCACGCUGGCUGUGCCUGUAUAUUUUGUGUGUUGAACUUUUCGUUCCACUAUCACACCUACUCUUAACCUUGAGAUAGCCUUUGGGCCCUCGUCC
RNAcentral lists this long non-coding RNA (960 nucleotides) under Chinchilla lanigera (long-tailed chinchilla). RNAcentral's name for it is "lncRNA (ENSCLAG00000024094.1)". Lineage: Eukaryota; Metazoa; Chordata; Mammalia; Rodentia; Chinchillidae. The record is from RNAcentral.